Molecule: non-coding RNA, 253 nt
Filed under: Streptomyces canus
Lineage: Bacteria; Bacillati; Actinomycetota; Actinomycetes; Kitasatosporales; Streptomycetaceae
Also listed under: 4 other names
Description: partial 16S ribosomal RNA
Rfam family: Bacterial small subunit ribosomal RNA
Source: RNAcentral
UACGUAGGGCGCAAGCGUUGUCCGGAAUUAUUGGGCGUAAAGAGCUCGUAGGCGGCUUGUCACGUCGGGUGUGAAAGCCCGGGGCUUAACCCCGGGUCUGCAUUCGAUACGGGCUAGCUAGAGUGUGGUAGGGGAGAUCGGAAUUCCUGGUGUAGCGGUGAAAUGCGCAGAUAUCAGGAGGAACACCGGUGGCGAAGGCGGAUCUCUGGGCCAUUACUGACGCUGAGGAGCGAAAGCGUGGGGAGCGAACAGG